CGAGUAAAUUGGAUAGUCGCGGGUCUUUAAGGCCUGAGGAAAGUCGGAGCUCCAUAGGGCAGGGUGCUGGGUAACACCCAGUGAGGGCAACCUCAAGGAAAGUGCCACAGAAACAAACCGCCGGCAGCGGAGAGCCAACUCUGCGUUUUUUAACGGGACUUGACUCUCCACUGCCGGUAAGGGUGGAAAGGUGAGGUAAGAGCUCACCAGCGUCCAGGUGACUGGUCGGCUAGGUAAACCCCACCUGGUGCAAGACCAAAUAGAGGAGCAUUGGAGCGGCCCGCUCCGCUCCCGGGUUAGGUCGCUAGAGAUGUCAGGCAACUGGCGUCCCAGAUAGAUGACUAUCUAUAACAGAACUCCGCUUACAGAUUUACUCGCGGU
This 381-nucleotide RNase P RNA is filed under the name Syntrophomonadaceae bacterium. RNAcentral describes it as "RNase P RNA component class A". It matches the Rfam family "Bacterial RNase P class A". Rfam says of the family: Ribonuclease P (RNase P) is a ubiquitous endoribonuclease, found in archaea, bacteria and eukarya as well as chloroplasts and mitochondria. Its best characterised activity is the generation of mature 5'-ends of tRNAs by cleaving the 5'-leader elements of precursor-tRNAs. Lineage: Bacteria; Bacillati; Bacillota; Clostridia; Eubacteriales; Syntrophomonadaceae. The record is from RNAcentral.